CCUACGGGUGGCAGCAGUGAGGAAUAUUGGUCAAUGGGCGAGAGCCUGAACCAGCCAUGCCGCGUGCAGGAAGACGGCCCUACGGGUUGUAAACUGCUUUUGUGUGGGAAGAAAACGUUCUACGUGUAGGACACUGACGGUACCAUAUGAAUAAGCAUCGGCUAACUCCGUGCCAGCAGCCGCGGUAAUACGGAGGAUUCGAGCGUUAUCCGGAUUUAUUAGGUUGUAGGCGGACGAUUAAGGCAGAGGUGAAAUCUCAGAGCUUAACUCUGAAACUGCCAUAGAUACUGGUUGUCUUGAGUACAGUUGAAGUAGGCGGAAUGUGUAAUGUAGCGGUGAAAUGCUUAGAUAUUACACAGAACACCGAUUGCGAAGGCAGCUUGCUAAGCUGUUACUGACGCUGAUGCACGAAAGCGUGGGGAGCGAACAGGAUUAGAUACCCUAGUAGUC
This 450-nucleotide ribosomal RNA is filed under the name uncultured bacterium. Its description in RNAcentral is "partial 16S ribosomal RNA". It matches the Rfam family "Bacterial small subunit ribosomal RNA", at positions 338 to 795 of the family's 1533-position model. The record is from RNAcentral.